AACGGCCAUACCAUGCUGAAUAUACCGGCUCUCGUUAGAUCACCGAAGUCAAGCAUCAUUGGGCGCGGUCAGUACUUGGGUGGGUGACCACCUGGGAACACCGCGUGCCGUU
This 112-nucleotide ribosomal RNA is filed under the name Caerostris extrusa. Lineage: Eukaryota; Metazoa; Arthropoda; Arachnida; Araneae; Araneidae. The record is from RNAcentral.